This 253-nucleotide ribosomal RNA is filed under the name uncultured bacterium. RNAcentral's name for it is "partial 16S ribosomal RNA". It matches the Rfam family "Bacterial small subunit ribosomal RNA", at positions 524 to 776 of the family's 1533-position model. The record is from RNAcentral.
UACAGAGGGUGCAAGCGUUGUUCGGAAUUAUUGGGCGUAAAGAGCUCGUAGGCGGUUCGUCGCGUCGGCUGUGAAAACCCGGAGCUCAACUCCGGGCCUGCAGUCGAUACGGGCGGACUUGAGUUCGGCAGGGGAGACUGGAAUUCCUGGUGUAGCGGUGAAAUGCGCAGAUAUCAGGAGGAACACCGGUGGCGAAGGCGGGUCUCUGGGCCGAUACUGACGCUGAGGAGCGAAAGCGUGGGGAGCGAACAGG